Acanthopagrus latus (yellowfin seabream) is the source of this 369-nucleotide long non-coding RNA. RefSeq lists it as uncharacterized. The record is from RefSeq and is a predicted model, not a curated record. The transcript is spliced from 3 exons. Lineage: Eukaryota; Metazoa; Chordata; Actinopteri; Spariformes; Sparidae.
AUCAGUUUCACAUUCAUGUCGCAUUUGAAGCAAAACUUUACAACAAAUGGUCAGAAGGAGUCAUUUCUUUGACUUACCAACAAGCAGAAGAAGGAUGAAACAGAUCUUCAUCAUCAUGGCAGAAAGGUGUCCUGGUGCUGACUGACGUUGGGAUGCUCUCUGGUUCCACCUGGUCAGUAUCCUUCACUGUUUGCUCUGUGAUGCUUUCGUCCAAACCGACAGCGGCUUAUAUUCACAGGCGACAGUCCGUCAGUCCUGAGAGGAUCCUGUGCUGUCGUCUUGAUGGCUCCCAGAAAGUGACAGCGGUUGUGAUGAACUGUGGGAAGUCUUGGACAGAGAGCAGGCUGACCUGUAAACCCAGCAGCCGAG